UCUCCAGUAGCUCAGCGGUAGAGCGUGCGGCUGUUAACCGCAGUGCCGUUGGUUCGAACCCAACCUGGGGAG
Molecule: transfer RNA, 72 nt
Filed under: Picocystis salinarum
Lineage: Eukaryota; Viridiplantae; Chlorophyta; Picocystophyceae; Picocystales; Picocystaceae
Description: tRNA-Asn
Rfam family: tRNA
About the family: Transfer RNA (tRNA) molecules are approximately 80 nucleotides in length.
Source: RNAcentral